AAAGCUAUGGAGACAUAGUGGAGGUUAUCAAGGAGACAGGUGGUGCAUGGUUGUCGUCAGCUCGUGUCGUGAGAUGUUGGGUUAAGUCCCGCAACGAGCGCAACCCUUAUUGCUAGUUACCAUCAUUCAGUUGGGGACUCUAGCGAGACUGCCAGUGAUAAACUGGAGGAAGGUGGGGAUGACGUCAAAUCAUCAUGCCCCUUAUGACCUGGGCUACAAACGUGAUACAAUGGCUGAAACAAAGGGCAGCGAAGCAGUGAUGUGGAGCGAAACCCAAAAAGCAGUCUCAGUUCGGAUUGAAGUCUGCAACUCGACUUCAUGAAGUCGGAAUCGCUAGUAAUCGCGGAUCAGCAUGCCGCGGUGAAUACGUUCCCAGGCCUU
Molecule: ribosomal RNA, 381 nt
Filed under: uncultured Acholeplasma sp.
Lineage: Bacteria; Bacillati; Mycoplasmatota; Mollicutes; Acholeplasmatales; Acholeplasmataceae
Description: bacterial SSU rRNA
Rfam family: Bacterial small subunit ribosomal RNA
Source: RNAcentral